GGCUCAUUACAACAGCUAUAAUGUACUUGAUUUUGACCAGUUACGUGGAUAACUGUGGUAAUUCUAGAGCUAAUACAUGCACCAAAGCUCUGGUUAUACACCGAGCGCAUCUAUUAGACUUAAAACCAAUCGGGUUGCUCGUGUGUUAGCACGUUUAGUUGUGCGCAUGCUAGACCCGUAUUUUGGUGACUCUGAAUAGCUUUGCUGAUCGCAUGGUCUUGCACCGGCGACGUAUCUAUCAAGUGUCUGCCUUAUCAACUUUCGAUGGUAGUUUAUGUGCCUACCAUGGUUGUAACGGGUAACGGAGAAUAAGGGUUCGACUCCGGAGAGGGAGCCUGAGAAACGGCUGCCACUUCCAAGGAAGGCAGCAGGCGCGCAAAUUACCCACUCUUAGCACGAGGAGGUAGUGACGAAAAAUAACGAGACCGUACUCUAUGAGGCCGGUUAUCGGAAUGGGUACAAUUUAAACCCGUUAACGAGGAUCAAUGAGAGGGCAAGUCUGGUGCCAGCAGCCGCGGUAACUCCAGCUCUCAAAGUGUAUAUCGUCAUUGCUGCGGUUAAAAAGCUCGUAGUUGGAUUUAGGCCAUACGAUUUGGUGCAUCAGAUUUGAUGUGAACUAAAUUCGUUGGUUGUACGUGCCGCUAUUGCCUACUUUUGUUGUGUGCUCUGCCAUCAUCUGUGGCUGGCUCAUGAUGAGGUAGGCGAAGUUUGGCAUAUGCUGGUUUUCGCUAUGUUGCCUUUAUCGGUUGCGUAGUGCGACUGGCGAGUUUACCUUGAAAAAAUUAGAGUGCUCAACGCGGGCUAGCGCUUGAAUACUCGUGCAUGGAAUAAUGGAAUAGGAUCUUGGUUCUAUUUUGUUGGUUUUCUGAGCCAAGAUAAUGGUUAAUAGGGACAGACGGGGGCAUUCGUAUCGCUGCGUGAGAGGUGAAAUUCUUGGACCGCAGCGAGACGCCCUACUGCGAAAGCAUUUGCCAAGAAUGUCUUCAUUAAUCAAGAACGAAAGUCAGAGGUUCGAAGGCGAUCAGAUACCGCCCUAGUUCUGACCGUAAACGAUACCAACUAGCGUUCCGUCAGUGGUAAUUACGCCUUGACGGGCAGCUUGCCGGAAACGAAAGUGUUUCGGUUCCGGGGGAAGUAUGGUUGCAAAGCUGAAACUUAAAGAAAUUGACGGAAGGGCACCACCAGGAGUGGAGCCUGCGGCUUAAUUUGACUCAACACGGGAAAACUCACCUGGCCUAGACACCGUGAGGAUUGACAGAUUGAGAGCUCUUUCUUGAUUCGGUGGUUGGUGGUGCAUGGCCGUUCUUAGUUGGUGGAGUGAUUUGUCUGGUUAAUUCCGAUAACGAGCGAGACUCUAGCCUACUAAAUAGUCAACAGACGCAUAUAAAUUUGCGACUGUGCUGACUUCUUAGAGGGACAAGCGGUAUUUAGCCGCAUGAAGUUGAGCAAUAACAGGUCUGUGAUGCCCUUAGAUGUUCAGGGCUGCACGCGCGCUACACUGGAGGAAUCAGCGUGCACUGAUCCAUUGUCGAAAGGCAUUGGUAACCAGUUGAAAAUCCUUCGUGCUCGGGAUCGGCAAUUGCAAUUAUUUGCCGUGAACGAGGAAUUCCUAGUAAGUGUGAGUCAUCAGCUCACGCUGAUUACGUCCCUGCCCUUUGUACACACCGCCCGUCGCUGCCCGGGACUGAGCCGUUUCGAGAAAAGCGGGGAUCGCUACAUCGAGACUGAACAAGUGGAGAUGCAUUAGUGAGAACCGCGU
RNAcentral lists this ribosomal RNA (1759 nucleotides) under Mexiconema africanum. RNAcentral's name for it is "SSU rRNA". It matches the Rfam family "Eukaryotic small subunit ribosomal RNA". Lineage: Eukaryota; Metazoa; Nematoda; Chromadorea; Rhabditida; Daniconematidae. The record is from RNAcentral.